GACGAACGUUGGCGGCGUGCUUAAUACAUGCAAGUCAACUGAAGCAGUGGUAGCAAUAUCGCUGUGGAGGUGGCGCACGGGCGAGUAACACGUAGGUAAUCUGCCUUCAGGUCUGGCAUAACUCCGGGAAACCGGGGCUAAUAGCAGAUGAUGCAGCGGCUCGACAUCGAGACAGUUGUUAAAGCUAUGGCGCCUGAAGAUGAGCCUGCGUCUGAUUAGCUAGUUGGCGGGGUAACGGCCCACCAAGGCAACGAUCAGUAGCUGGUCUGAGAGGAUGAUCAGCCACACUGGAACUGAGACACGGUCCAGACUCCUACGGGAAGCAGCAGUAAGGAAUAUUGCUCAAUGGGAGAAAUCCUGAAGCAGCAACGCCGCGUGAGGGACGAAGGGCUUUUGCUUGUAAACCUCUGUAGUGAGAGAAAAAAAUCCCAAUCUUUGGGACAUGAUGGUAUCUCAAAAGUAAGCCCCGGCUAACUACGUG
Molecule: ribosomal RNA, 481 nt
Filed under: uncultured bacterium
Lineage: Bacteria
Description: partial 16S ribosomal RNA
Rfam family: Bacterial small subunit ribosomal RNA
Source: RNAcentral